GCUACAGGUCCCUGGGCUGGUCCUUCCACAUCAAAAGGUCGAGUGUAGCAGGCAUAGCUAUGAGCCAUCUGCACAGGUCCAAACAACCCUCCUUCUCAGAUGCUUCUCCGAGCUUCUCAGAUGCAUCUUGAGUCCCUAUUGGCACUGCUCAACCUGGCCCUCAGGAUCCUAGAGGACCAUCUGAAGUCUCUUGGGAAGCCUGUAGGCUAACAAGGACACACUGUGCGCCGCUUCCCAACCACCGAGAGAGAAGCAGCAACAUGAGCCCUCUACAGUAACAACUCCUCCAUCCACCUCAUUUGACCAAGAGAUCUACAGGACGGAACUACUGUUCAGCACAGUGUCUGUCCAAUAAAUAUUUACUGAAAUGAA
Molecule: long non-coding RNA, 372 nt
Organism: Mus musculus (house mouse)
Lineage: Eukaryota; Metazoa; Chordata; Mammalia; Rodentia; Muridae
Product: predicted gene 15969
Exons: 3
Source: RefSeq, a predicted model, not a curated record